Molecule: non-coding RNA, 46 nt
Organism: Trichobilharzia regenti
Lineage: Eukaryota; Metazoa; Platyhelminthes; Trematoda; Strigeidida; Schistosomatidae
Source: Rfam
GUACUGCUGAAGAGUCUCAAGCUAGGACGAAACAGAUGUCCAGCAC